This is a non-coding RNA of Acanthosepion pharaonis, 109 nucleotides long. Lineage: Eukaryota; Metazoa; Mollusca; Cephalopoda; Sepiida; Sepiidae. The record is from the annotation of a GenBank genome assembly.
CCACAUCGCGUUGAAACACCGGUUCUCGUGCGAUCACCGAAGUUAAGCAAGAGUAGAGCCUGGUCAGUAUCGAGAUGGGUGACCGUUUCAGAAUAUCAGGUGCUGUAAG